ACCCAGGAUUAGAUACCCUAUUAUAUUUAAACAAAUUGGGUAGUAUUAUUAAUAAAAACCUUUAUACUUUGGCGGCAUUUUAUCUUAUUAGAGGAAUAUGUUCAUUAAUCGAAACCACACGAUAGUUUUUACUUACUAUAAAAUUUUAUAUACCCCCGUCUAAAGAAUUUAUUUAAAAUUUUUAUUCCAAAUUAUAUUAAAAAAAGUUAGGUAAAGGUGUAGACUAUUAGUAAGAUUAAAUGUAUUACAUUAAAAAAAAAUUUAAGGAUAAAACAGUUAACUGUUUAUUAAAAGAGGAUUUAUAAGUAAUUUACUUUUAAUAAAAAUUAAUGAAUAAGAAAAUAAAUGUGCACAUAUCGCCCGUCACUC
Molecule: ribosomal RNA, 369 nt
Filed under: Sancus acoreensis
Lineage: Eukaryota; Metazoa; Arthropoda; Arachnida; Araneae; Tetragnathidae
Description: partial 12S ribosomal RNA
Source: RNAcentral